UACGGGAGGCAGCAGUGAGGAAUAUUGGUCAAUGGGCGCAAGCCUGAACCAGCCAUGCCGCGUGCAGGAAUGAGGCCCUAUGGGUCGUAAACUGCUUUUGCUGCGGAGCAAUAAGUGCUACGUGUAACACGAUGAGAGUACGCAGCGAAUAAGCAUCGGCUAACUCCGUGCCAGCAGCCGCGGUAAU
Molecule: ribosomal RNA, 187 nt
Filed under: uncultured rumen bacterium
Lineage: Bacteria
Description: partial 16S ribosomal RNA
Rfam family: Bacterial small subunit ribosomal RNA
Source: RNAcentral